RNAcentral lists this ribosomal RNA (246 nucleotides) under uncultured bacterium. RNAcentral describes it as "partial 16S ribosomal RNA". It matches the Rfam family "Bacterial small subunit ribosomal RNA", at positions 791 to 1035 of the family's 1533-position model. The record is from RNAcentral.
UAGUCCACGCCCUAAGCGAUGCGAACUGGAUGUUGGUCUCAACUCGGAGAUCAGUGUCGAAGCUAACGCGUUAAGUUCGCCGCCUGGGGAGUACGGUCGCAAGACUGAAACUCAAAGGAAUUGACGGGGGCCCGCACAAGCGGUGGAGUAUGUGGUUUAAUUCGAUGCAACGCGAAGAACCUUACCUGGCCUUGACAUGUCCGGAAUCCUGCAGAGAUGCGGGAGUGCCUUCGGGAAUCGGAACAC